RNAcentral lists this long non-coding RNA (412 nucleotides) under Medicago truncatula (barrel medic). RNAcentral's name for it is "long non-coding RNA (MTRU_LNC008495)". The record is from RNAcentral. Lineage: Eukaryota; Viridiplantae; Streptophyta; Magnoliopsida; Fabales; Fabaceae.
GACACAUAAGGGAGUUGGCACUGUACAAAGUAAACCAAAUCCCCUCAAGCAUGGAAGUGAAGUAACAUCACCACUUUAUGAGAUCAUGCACGCGCUCCUAGACAGAUUUCAUAGAAGAUCUGAUCUAACAACAUUCUGUAGUCGUAAAAAGCAAAUCUUGAAGUACAACCCAGAAAUUCAUAUGACAUUCAUCUGCAAAAGCCCAGAUGCAUAUCUGACCGUUCAUCCACAUGAGCCCAGAUGAAGAUCAAGAUGAACACAGCAACAUUCUGAAGUAUUUCAGUUUGCCCAGAAUUUCAAGUGAAAGUUGGUGGGGCCCAGGACACGUGGCAUACGACCAGUGGUCACUCUCCAACGGCUACAAAGGCUCAAGAACUCUAUAAAUAGAGAUCAAGACCUCAGCAUAACACAC